GUGCUUGCUUUGCAGCACAUAUACUAAAAUUGAUAUGAUAGAGAUAAGAUUAGUACAGUCCCUGUGCAAGGAUAACAUGCAGAUUCAUGAAGUGUUCUAUAUUUUU
Arvicanthis niloticus (Nile rat) is the source of this 106-nucleotide small nuclear RNA. The record is from RefSeq and is a predicted model, not a curated record. NCBI's taxonomy places the organism in Eukaryota, Metazoa, Chordata, Mammalia, Rodentia, Muridae.